GUGUCAGCCGCCGCGGUAAUACAGAGGUGGCAAGCGUUGUUCGGAAUUACUGGGCGUAAAGGGCGCGUAGGCGGCUCUCUAAGUCCCGUGUGAAAGCCCUCGGCUUAACCGAGGAACUGCACGAGAAACUGGAGAGCUUGAGUUCGGGAGAGGGAAGCGGAAUUCCGGGUGUAGCGGUGAAAUGCGUAGAUAUCCGGAGGAACACCGGUGGCGAAGGCGGCUUCCUGGACCGACACUGACGCUGAGGCGCGAAAGCUAGGGGAGCAAACGGGAUUAGAAACCCCUGUAGUCC
RNAcentral lists this ribosomal RNA (292 nucleotides) under uncultured bacterium. Its description in RNAcentral is "partial 16S ribosomal RNA". It matches the Rfam family "Bacterial small subunit ribosomal RNA", at positions 505 to 796 of the family's 1533-position model. The record is from RNAcentral.